GUAGGUUAUUGCCAGGGUUUUUAUUUUUAUACUUUAAAUUUUGAUUUUAUUUUUAUGUUAUUUAAAUAUUUGUGUUUUUAAAUGUGUUAUUUAAAUAACAUAAAAAAUAAAAUAUAUAUUGACAUGGAUUAAACAAAGAUAUAUAUUAUCUUAUGUUGCAUAAACAAAUUGGCAAAAUAGAGAUGGAAGAUAAAAAUAUGGUCAAAGUAAUAAGAGUC
This 218-nucleotide unclassified non-coding RNA is filed under the name Borreliella burgdorferi (Lyme disease spirochete). RNAcentral's name for it is "partial 5S-23S ribosomal RNA intergenic spacer". The record is from RNAcentral. RNAcentral also lists the same sequence under 5 other names. Lineage: Bacteria; Pseudomonadati; Spirochaetota; Spirochaetia; Spirochaetales; Borreliaceae.